GAAAUGCGAUAAGUAAUGUGAAUUGCAGAAUUCAGUGAAUCAUCGAAUCUUUGAACGCACAUUGCGCCCGCCAGUAUUCCGGGGGGCAUGCCUGUUCGAGCGUCAUUACAACCCUCAAGCUCUGCUUGGUAUUGGGCUCUGCCGGUCCCGGCAGGCCUUAAAAUCAGUGGCGGUGCCAUCCGGCUUCAAGCGUAGUAAUUCUUCUCGCUUUGGAGGCCCGGGUGCGUGCUUGCCAGCGACCCCCAAUUUUCUCAGGUUGACCUCGGAUCAGGUAGGGAUACCCGCUGAACUUAA
Molecule: unclassified non-coding RNA, 294 nt
Filed under: uncultured Pseudeurotium
Lineage: Eukaryota; Fungi; Ascomycota; Leotiomycetes; Thelebolales; Pseudeurotiaceae
Description: sequence contains ITS1
Rfam family: 5.8S ribosomal RNA (bases 1-105)
Source: RNAcentral